GAUAUUAGACGCUGAAGCCCUCUCCAAAGUGUUUAUGAUCAGUUCAUUGGAGACGUAAUCGUCCUUAAGUAUCACCCCAGGAAGUGGUGUGAAGAAAACUGGAUGAUGGUUUUUAACACUGAAAACCCAAACGUCAGUGAAAGUGCAUCAUUUAUAAGGAAUUUUGCUCGGAUUGUCACUAGGCUCCUGUCCAACAUGGCGAUUGAUAUUAAAGAUAAAUCCAGUAAGCGACUAUUGAAGAAAAUCUAUGAUCCCCUUUUAACAGAAGACUCAUACGCAAAUUGUAUCCUGCUUCUUUUGCUGAAUACUUCGAUUUUUCAAACCGUGAGAAGUUCAAAAAGGAAAUUCCAGGAGCUGUUACUCAGCGAGCGCAGUUAGCUAAAAAACUUAGCGUUUUCAGCAUAUCGUUGUGCUUGCUGGAUAGAAUAAGUGAAUUCUGAAAACAGUGACAGAGACUUAUUUUUAAUUAAAAAAAAAUCUUAAAAUUAUAACUUAUUUUUAGUCAUAUUUAUUCUUAA
Molecule: long non-coding RNA, 518 nt
Organism: Phlebotomus papatasi
Lineage: Eukaryota; Metazoa; Arthropoda; Insecta; Diptera; Psychodidae
Exons: 3
Source: RefSeq, a predicted model, not a curated record